Molecule: long non-coding RNA, 605 nt
Organism: Amphimedon queenslandica
Lineage: Eukaryota; Metazoa; Porifera; Demospongiae; Haplosclerida; Niphatidae
Exons: 2
Source: RefSeq, a predicted model, not a curated record
UAGGCAUGCUUGGUUGUUAUCCAUUCAUUUUAAUGCAUAUGCGCAUGUGCAGUAUGCUAAACUAGCUUUUGAAGGGGACAACGAACCAGAAAGAAGCUUUACAUUAUUGUGUAUACACAAAAUAGACAAAUAGAAGCAUUACAAGUACAUGUAGCUGGAUUGAUUAUGGGGCAAUGUAUUAAAAAUGUGCAUGUCUGUGUGAAUGCAUACUGAAAUUUAUAGGAUCUACAUGUAAUAUCUCAAUAAAAAACAAUUCUUAACCUUUAUUAUUCUCUGAUAGGUGUUGUUGUCCAUGGUCUAAUGCUUGUAGGGUAAGGACUGCACAAGAAGAGGACACUGUAGCCAUUGUUGGUAUAAAGAAUGAGAACAAAGAUGAUACGAGUGAUGAGGCUGAAGAUGAUGAGAAUGAGUCACUGAUAAAAGAUACAGAUGUCCUUGAGUCUAGUCUGUCAGCUAAAUUUGACAAAUAAUGGAUCAAGCAACCUUUGUAUCAUUUUGUGUACUACAUGUAAUAGCAUUAAUUGUUAGAUUUUUAUGAUAGACAGAUUUUAUUAUUUUGCUAUUAUUUUUAAAAAUUUAUGCAUGCAGCAGGUUGUACAAUGUAA